RNAcentral lists this ribosomal RNA (691 nucleotides) under Salmonella enterica subsp. enterica serovar Agona. RNAcentral's name for it is "partial 23S ribosomal RNA". It matches the Rfam family "Bacterial large subunit ribosomal RNA", at positions 1084 to 1693 of the family's 2925-position model. Lineage: Bacteria; Pseudomonadati; Pseudomonadota; Gammaproteobacteria; Enterobacterales; Enterobacteriaceae. RNAcentral also lists the same sequence under 1 other name. The record is from RNAcentral.
CCCAGACAGCCAGGAUGUUGGCUUAGAAGCAGCCAUCAUUUAAAGAAAGCGUAAUAGCUCACUGGUCGAGUCGGCCUGCGCGGAAGAUGUAACGGGGCUAAACCAUGCACCGAAGCUGCGGCAGCGAACGUAUCACUUAAAGCGAUUCAGCGGGUUACGAUUGACGGAGCGAAGCGACGUCAAAGCGUAUACAAAGUCGAGUCGGUUUAAGGAUACGUUCGUUGGGUAGGGGAGCGUUCUGUAAGCCUGCGAAGGUGGCCUGUGAGGGUUGCUGGAGGUAUCAGAAGUGCGAAUGCUGACAUAAGUAACGAUAAAGCGGGUGAAAAGCCCGCUCGCCGGAAGACCAAGGGUUCCUGUCCAACGUUAAUCGGGGCAGGGUGAGUCGACCCCUAAGGCGAGGCCGAAAGGCGUAGUCGAUGGGAAACGGGUUAAUAUUCCCGUACUUGGUGUUACUGCGAAGGGGGGACGGAGAAGGCUAUGUUGGCCGGGCGACGGUUGUCCCGGUUUAAGCGUGUAGGUGUGUGUUCCAGGUAAAUCCGGUUCACUUUAACACUGAGGCGUGAUGACGAGGCACUACGGUGCUGAAGCAACAAAUGCCCUGCUUCCAGGAAAAGCCUCUAAGCAUCAGGUAACAUCAAAUCGUACCCCAAACCGACACAGGUGGUCAGGUAGAGAAUACCAAGGCGCUUGA